UACAGGAACAAGCUCACACCAAGCGCAAAACAGCGGUGUUUGGAGAAGCUCUCAGGCAGCUCCCUGCAGCGGCACAGAGACCUGAACAAUUUACCUCAGUGCACACAUAUGGACAUUGGGAAUUAUAUUGUUUACGAUGUAGCAGGAUGCUUGGUCCAUUACAUCCUGACGGAUGGACAACACCCUGAUCAGACAACUACACCCUACACCAAGGAUCCACUUGGUCUGUCUCUACAUGUCAGAACGAGUAACUUCAGUCUUCAAUGGGAUGAAAGACUAAACAUAUCUUAAGCAGAAUGAUGAGCAAAUCAUUGGAAGAGCAUCCUACUAUUGAGGAAAGCCUUCAGGAAGUCAAAACUAUGUGCAAAGACUUAUUGUAGAGUUUACAAUAAGCAUUAAAAUGAUUGGAUAUAAGUAUUAGUGUGAAUUUACAGGUUUGAUCACCAGUCUUAUCAAAUAUCAACCACAAACAGCUACAGCUCAGAAAAGACUUCAGCCUUCAGUCUCGGAUACAUCAGUAAAUCACUAGUGCCAUUAAAUCAAAACGCAAGAGCCAGAAAGCCCUGGUCAGAAACAGAGAGGAAAGUCAUAGAACACUGUUUCAAGAACUACUUUGAGGAAAUGAAGGCUCCUGGAAAAGUGGACUGAGAAAGAUGCAUAAAUGAAAACAGGAUUCUAAAGGGUAAUGGAAGAGACUGGAAAACAGUUAAAUACUUUGUGCUCAACAGAAUAAUUUCAGUUAAGAGAAGUUUGGGUGAACAGUACUGAGCCCAUAAACCCUGAGAGCUUGUGAUGUGGAGUAUCAGUGUUGAGUCCUAACUGUGCCGUGACACUGAAGGUCCAUGUACAUGCAGCAUCAGUGCCUCAUAGCAUUGAAAUGAUUGACUACAGCUGUUUUCAGCUCCUGUUUGGGACUCUGUUUUAGACCUGUUAUAACUUUGAUGUAAGCCACUGUAAUUUUGAACUAUUUAAUUUUUUUUUUAAAUAAACAAAUUUUAUUAUUUUCAUUUUGAUUUGUUGUUUUACUUUUCUUGGCAAUGUUGAUAAUAAAAAUGGAGCCCCUAAAUCAA
This is a long non-coding RNA of Carassius gibelio (silver crucian carp), 1070 nucleotides long. RefSeq lists it as uncharacterized. The transcript is spliced from 3 exons. The record is from RefSeq and is a predicted model, not a curated record. Lineage: Eukaryota; Metazoa; Chordata; Actinopteri; Cypriniformes; Cyprinidae.